RNAcentral lists this unclassified non-coding RNA (328 nucleotides) under fungal sp. RNAcentral describes it as "partial internal transcribed spacer region". The stretch from base 1 to 46 matches the Rfam family "Eukaryotic small subunit ribosomal RNA", at positions 1786 to 1831 of the family's 1831-position model. Lineage: Eukaryota; Fungi. The record is from RNAcentral.
AAGUCGUAACAAGGUUUCCGUAGGUGAACCUGCGGAAGGAUCAUUAACACUAUUUUACAAAACAACUAAAGAGUUUUGAACUUGAGCAAUCUCGUUUUUUUAACUCUUUUUUUGUUUUUUCCAAACCAAAUACCCAAACUUUUGAAAGUGCUGGUUGAUUUACCAUGUUUUCAUGUGUAAAUCACUUUUUCACUUUUCUUUUCUUUUAUUAACCCCAAACUCUUUCAUUGCUAAUGCAAAUGACAAUAACAAAAAACUAAAUAACUACUUUAACGUAACCAAACAACUCUUAGCAACGGAUAUCUUGGUUCUGGCAUCGAUGAAGAGC